AGCAGGUCUCAGAUUCUAUGUCUAGUCAUCUUUCCAUUUUCUCCACUUUGUCACCUCUCUCUCCCAACCCUUGCAAUAUGAACUACCACUAACAUAUCUGAAGAGGAGAAAAAGCCCACAUAUGACUGUCCUUCAACUUCUAAAAGCUAUGGAAAGUGCAGAUGGCGACAGCCUUCAAGAGACUAAAUAGCAGCUGAGUAAUGAGGUGUUUGAAGGAAUCAUGUUGAGACAAACCAGGCCCUAGAUAAAUCAGUGGCUGCCUCCAAUCCCUAUUAUGAAUAAUGUUGCUGGGGACAUUCCUGUACAGGCCUGUGGAUCCUGCAUCUCACCUACAGACCUCCUCAGUUUCUGCCCACAAUACUGAGCAUCUACUGUGUUUAUAUGGAGGACUAUGUACUGCCAGCCACCAAAUAAGCUUGAAUGUUAUGCUUUGCUUGGACUUGAUAAAUUCAGUGGAAUGUUGUUGUUUUUUUAUUUCAUUGAAAAUUUGAGCACAGCUGGAAAGGCUAAAAUCAGGGAAGUGAUGACCUUAGGCAUAUUCUUGAAGUGUGAGUGCAUUGUUUUCUUUAAAUAACUUGUAUGCGAAAUAUUGGCUCAUAAUUUUAGGAGCAAAAAAAAUGCUGUAUAUUCUCUGUACCUCUUCCAUAAAGAUGGACUGUGACUUAAAAUAGCCUAGGGUUAUUAAUGCUGGAAAUCUCUCUAAAAGGCAUUUCUGUACCUGUUCUUCUUGCUCUCAAAAAAAAAAAAAAGAGAAAUUAAAACAUAAUAUAAAUCAUAGAUCUCAGAUGUGUGAAUAUGUGAUACAAUUUCAAACUCUGUCAAGAUUAGACCACUACUAAUGCCCAAGGCUAAAAUGAAUUGUGGAAUUCUUAAACGUUCUUCCAAAUAAGUAAGUACAUUGAAACAAAAUGUUCUGGUACAGGCAGAGGACCAUUUUAAAUGGCCCCCUGAACACUCGGAGCUUUGACUUCUGUAAGACUAUACAAGGAAGACAAUUAUACUAUUGAGUCAAACCUUCAGAAGAAUUGGAAACAACUAAUGACAUGUGAUUCUAAGUUGGAGUGGGAGGUCAGUAGGAGUAAGCAUAAAAUUUCCUUAUAACUCAUGCAGUUUUGUGUCAAAAGUUAUUAUGAUGCUAUUUAAAACUUACUUUUUUGGAAACCCAUUAUUAAA
Artibeus jamaicensis (Jamaican fruit-eating bat) is the source of this 1173-nucleotide long non-coding RNA. RefSeq lists it as uncharacterized. The transcript is spliced from 3 exons. The record is from RefSeq and is a predicted model, not a curated record. Lineage: Eukaryota; Metazoa; Chordata; Mammalia; Chiroptera; Phyllostomidae.